AGCGAACGCUGGCGGCAGGCCUAAUACAUGCAAGUCGAACGGAUCCUUCGGGAUUAGUGGCGGACGGGUGAGUAACACGUGGGAACGUGCCCUUUGGUUCGGAACAACUCAGGGAAACUUGAGCUAAUACCGGAUAAGCCCUUCGGGGAAGGAUUAUCGCCAUUGGAGCGGCCCGCGUCUGAUUAGCUAGUUGGUGGGGUGGAUGGCCUACCAAGGCGACGACGGGUAGGCCGGCCCGACGAGGGCGACCGGCCACACUGGGACGUGAGACACGGCCCAGACUCCUACCGGGAGGCAGCAGUGGGGAAUCUUGCGCAAUGGGCGAAAGCCUGACGCAGCGACGCCGCGUGAGGGA
Molecule: ribosomal RNA, 355 nt
Filed under: uncultured bacterium
Lineage: Bacteria
Description: bacterial SSU rRNA
Rfam family: Bacterial small subunit ribosomal RNA
Source: RNAcentral